AUAUCUCAACUCCAAUGCUUUGUUAAUGUUGCGUUGACACGCCCUCCGGCCUAGCGAGGCCGCUGCGGUAGUCGGUGUGGCUUGAGGUGUUGGAGCUUGGAACUGAGCUCUGUUGGCCUCCAAUGGUCAACUGGCUUGAAAUGGAUCAGCGAUGCGUGAUCCCUUGGGUCCAUCUCGGCGUGAUAAGUUGAUCGCUGUAAAGGGCUCCUUGGGGUGUGGCUCGCUUCUAGCCGUCUUAGGACAAUUUUGACA
Molecule: unclassified non-coding RNA, 252 nt
Filed under: uncultured Cantharellales
Lineage: Eukaryota; Fungi; Basidiomycota; Agaricomycetes; Cantharellales
Description: sequence contains ITS2
Source: RNAcentral